RNAcentral lists this ribosomal RNA (464 nucleotides) under Microcystis viridis. RNAcentral describes it as "bacterial SSU rRNA". It matches the Rfam family "Bacterial small subunit ribosomal RNA", at positions 123 to 619 of the family's 1533-position model. The record is from RNAcentral. Lineage: Bacteria; Bacillati; Cyanobacteriota; Cyanophyceae; Chroococcales; Microcystaceae.
AAUCUAACUUCAGGACGGGGACAACAGUUGGAAACGACUGCUAAUACCCGAUAUGCCGCGAGGUGAAACCUAAUUGGCCUGAAGAAGAGCUUGCGUCUGAUUAGCUAGUUGGUGGGGUAAGAGCCUACCAAGGCGACGAUCAGUAGCUGGUCUGAGAGGAUGAGCAGCCACACUGGGACUGAGACACGGCCCAGACUCCUACGGGAGGCAGCAGUGGGGAAUUUUCCGCAAUGGGCGAAAGCCUGACGGAGCAACGCCGCGUGAGGGAGGAAGGUCUUUGGAUUGUAAACCUCUUUUCUCAAGGAAGAAGUUCUGACGGUACUUGAGGAAUCAGCCUCGGCUAACUCCGUGCCAGCAGCCGCGGUAAUACGGGGGAGGCAAGCGUUAUCCGGAAUUAUUGGGCGUAAAGCGUCCGCAGGUGGUCAGCCAAGNCUGCCGUCCAAAUCAGGUUGCUUAACGACCUA